Podarcis lilfordi (Lilford's wall lizard) is the source of this 2841-nucleotide non-coding RNA. The record is from the annotation of a GenBank genome assembly. Lineage: Eukaryota; Metazoa; Chordata; Lepidosauria; Squamata; Lacertidae.
GUAUUUAGAUCCUGUUUUUAAAGUGCAAUGCUUAUCUAAAGAUGUAAAAGAAUAUAGUCAAGUGUUAUGCUAUAUAGUUAUGUUUAGAACUUUAUAGUGUUUAUAGCUUAAUCGUAUUACGAAGUAUAUAAGGUUCUGUGUGUACGAUACACGUAUAUUUGCGUAUUGAAACAGGAACCCCAGAAUACUUUUUUACAAUUCCUGCCCAUCGCUGCAUCGAGGCUGGCAUAUGCAACCUUGCCUACGCAAUGAUUUUCAGGUGUGGGGCAUGUGAUGGAAGUUUGUUUACUGAGCAGGUUGAGUCACUGCCAGCAAACAGUUAACUAGCAAAAGCUCCUGACUGGCUAGAGUUCCAAGGGAGACAGCUGGAAUGGAGUGAGAGACUGGGUGAGAGAUUCAUAUUCUGUCUGUGAGGGGUUCGUUCUGACAGGAGGGAGAGCUGAGGACUCUCAGUAUACAUGCUCUCAGGGUCUGAAUCACAAAACACUGUUAAAAUAGAAAAGACACAGUCCCACACGGUGUUUAAAGGAAAAAGGGUCCUCAGAGGGAAUACUCUGACAGGAAAGGGCAGUACUGAUUCCAAGGCCAAGGAGGACUUGGGGGUCCGUAAGGAAACAGUCCACUUAAAAACCUAAGUUCCUGAAGAGACAGUGUGUGUGUGAAGUCUGAUCUAUGGAAGGUGUAUAAAAGAAAGUAACUGUAAGCUUGAACAGCAUACAGCCUAUAACUUGAAACAGUAUACAGUCAUACCUCGGGUUACGGACGCUUCAGGUUGCGGAACGGGUUACUUCUGGGUUUUGGAGGUCGUGCAUGCGCAGAAGUGCUAAAUCGUGCUUUCCGCAUGUGCAGAAGUGCUGAAUCACGACCCGCGCAUGUGCAGAUGCACCGCUGCAGGUUGCGGACGUGCAUCCCACACAGAUCACGUUCGCAACCCAAGCGUCCACUGUACAUUUAAAUAAAUAGCGACAGCAUUGUUUGUUACAUUUCUGUGGAAGAGCCAAAACUCCUUGUUUACACCUGUUAUAACAAGGUUUGCUUGCAACCAGUUUUCCCAAAAGAAAAACCCACUAUUGCUCAUGAUUCAUUCUCCAAUGGGGGAAUACACCUGAGGGAAGCAAAACAGAGGGCGGGUACAGCGGCACAAGGGAGAGAGAGGGCCAUCGCCUCGUUGCAUAUUAAUUUGUGGCAGCGCCGUGAUACGAAGUUAAAACCCACACAGAAACAGGCUCACAGAUACAGAACAACCAAUUUAAUAAAGUAUUGAGAAUAUUUUAUUAAAAUAAAAAAAAGGUUUCUGUCAGAAAAUGGCCAGCAAGCACCAAGCAAAAGAGACUCAGGUCAUGACCCAGUGCAGGGAGCUGCUGCUGGAUCUGAGAAUACUAAUACUGAAUUAGAAAUGAUGAGGCUAAGAUUCGAAUUGGCUAAAGUUGAAACAGAGAAAGACAUAAGGUUGAAGCAGAGAAAGAAAAGGCAAAACUAGCAGCUGAACAGGCCAGCCCCUUUAUUACAUAUCUUUAGGUAUCAGGUAAAAACAUUCCCCUUCUCCCAGGCUUUUGGCUAAUUGAAAAAUCUAUGGGGUUGUUUGAUUUGUUAGUUGUUAUGGUAUGUAUCUUUGUGUUUUUAUAUUGUAAAUUACCCUGUGAUCUUUGCAUGAAGGGCAGUCCAGAAAUUUAAUAAAUACUACUACUACUAAUAAUAGCAAUAGAUUAGAUCCCAGGGUUUCUGUACACAUCUCAAGGGGAAAGCUCCAUUAAAACCCAUGGGAUCUGCAUCUGAGUAAACAUGCAAGGACUGCACCAUCAGCCUCAGCUCCAAUCUGCAAUGUGGGCAUUGCUAUAGGGUUGUAUUUGCCCUCUCCUCACUCCUGCAUGCAAUGUGGGAAGAACAGUAACUUCUUUCAAGGUAUCCACAUCCUGCAAUGUGUGUUUGUAGUGCAAAAACGAGGAAGAAAAGUCUGUGUGUGGCCCAGGUUCUUCAUGUAAUGCAAUCUAAGUUUGAAUCCAAAACUACUGGCUUAGCUAGGCACCAAAUGGCACCUCAAAACUAGGUUAUGGGCACAAUAACAGAACAUUUAGGCACUUAAAAAAAUGUAUUACAAAGCUGAAAAUGAACAAACCUCAGCUAAAAUCUCAUGUUCACUUUUCAUAUCAUGCAGCAGGAGGCCUAGCACCUUCUUCAGCGGGAAAGUUUAACUAAACAGUCCUAAAAGCAUAUACCUAAGCAUGCAUAGAAAGUCUAUUUUUGUCUCUGUCUUAUACACACACACACACACACACACACACUUGUGCCUCCUAGCAGCUCAGCUUAAGGUGGGCAACACAAUGUUAUUUAAAACUGUGGCAACCAAACUGGGUAAGAUGAAUUACGAGGAAGUGAUUAGACUUCUCCGACAUUUUUCUUCAGUAAAAGGGAAGUAACCUUCAUUGUUCUCUCCCUCAUGGUGAGAUGUCUUCUCUUAUUUAUGAAACCCUUUCUAUAAUAUUUGUAGGACUGGAUUCCACCAUGACUGACACCCCAACAGUCUUUUAAACCAGGAAGAAGGUAGAAUUUCGCAGAUUGACCGGUUAGAAGAGAAGGCUGGCUGUGAGGAUAUGGUUGUGCUGUCUGGCUGAUGUUUGUGAAGCAUUUGAGAAGGGGGAAAGUAUAUCUGCACCUGCCCUCCUCCUCCAGCAGCAGAGAGUGCUUGCAGGCCAAAUGGUGACGGGGCUCAGUCGCAAUACAUGUGCCCAUGCAUCCAAAACCGGUAGCAAUUGAAUCGUGGCAAAUUGCAAAAUGAACCUGAAUCCUUAGGGCGUUUCAAAUGCUGCUGUUGCCCCUAGACAAAUGAAGCACUAUACCUGG